GAGCGGAUCUUUGCUUCUAUGGCCACCUUAAGGCUGAGGGAUUGCUUGAGUCAAGGAGUUCUAGUCUGCCCUGAGCCAUGUCGAUCGGUUGUCCACACUGAAUUCAGUAUCAAUACAGUGUUUCUGGGGGAGCUUGGGAUCACCAGGUUGUCUAAUGAGGGGUGAACUGAUCCAGGUUGGAAACGGAGAAGAUCAAAGCCCCCAUGCUGUUCAGUAGUGAGAUAGCACCUGUGAAUGGUCAGUGCAGAUGAACAUGGGUGAUAAAGUGGGUCCCAACCUCUU
This 282-nucleotide signal recognition particle RNA is filed under the name Xenopus laevis (African clawed frog). RNAcentral describes it as "Metazoan signal recognition particle RNA". It matches the Rfam family "Metazoan signal recognition particle RNA". From Rfam's summary of the family: The signal recognition particle (SRP) is a universally conserved ribonucleoprotein. It is involved in the co-translational targeting of proteins to membranes. The record is from Rfam by way of RNAcentral. Lineage: Eukaryota; Metazoa; Chordata; Amphibia; Anura; Pipidae.